Molecule: ribosomal RNA, 301 nt
Filed under: uncultured bacterium
Lineage: Bacteria
Description: partial 16S ribosomal RNA
Rfam family: Bacterial small subunit ribosomal RNA
Source: RNAcentral
CAGCAGCCACGGUAAUACGGAGGGAGCUAGCGUUGUUCGGAAUUACUGGGCGUAAAGCGCACGUAGGCGGCUUUGUAAGUCAGAGGUGAAAGCCUGGAGCUCAACUCCAGAACUGCCUUUGAGACUGCAUCGCUCGAAUCCGGGAGAGGUGAGUGGAAUUCCGAGUGUAGAGGUGAAAUUCGUAGAUAUUCGGAAGAACACCAGUGGCGAAGGCGGCUCACUGGACCGGUAUUGACGCUGAGGUGCGAAAGCGUGGGGAGCAAACAGGAUUAGAUACCCCUGUAGUCCCUGUCUCUUAUAC